AACCAGGCCUUUAUGUGUUUGACCGCAAUUCAGCCCACGUGGUGCCAUGAGACAAGGGUGAGCGGAUGCUCUUACCUCUACAGCCAAAGUACACACAUCCUUCCAGAAAGAAAGAACUCAUCUUCUGAAGCAGCAGGUACAAGAACUCCUUUGAAAUAACCAAAGUGGAGCUGAUAGGACUGUGAGACUGAAGUCUAACUGAGACUGUUAAAAAACCCCAGAACCCCUUAUGGCAAUUAAAAAAUAACUCCAGUAAGCAGGCAUUGCCACGGUGGAAAAUCACUGCAGCCCUUAUACUGGCCCCUGGAACAUCAUGGGACAACACAGCAAGG
Molecule: long non-coding RNA, 332 nt
Organism: Tympanuchus pallidicinctus (lesser prairie-chicken)
Lineage: Eukaryota; Metazoa; Chordata; Aves; Galliformes; Phasianidae
Exons: 3
Source: RefSeq, a predicted model, not a curated record